UACAGAGGUCUCAAGCGUUGUUCGGAUUCAUUGGGCGUAAAGAGCUCGUAGGCGGCUCGGUAAGUCAGGUGUGAAAACUCUAGGCUCAACCUAGAGACGCCACCUGAUACUGCCGUGGCUAGAGUCCGGUAGGGGAGCAUGGAAUUCCUGGUGUAGCGGUGAAAUGCGCAGAUAUCAGGAGGAACACCAGUGGCGAAGGCGGUGCUCUGGGCCGGAACUGACGCUGAGGAGCGAAAGCGUGGGGAGCAAACAGG
RNAcentral lists this ribosomal RNA (254 nucleotides) under uncultured bacterium. RNAcentral's name for it is "partial 16S ribosomal RNA". It matches the Rfam family "Bacterial small subunit ribosomal RNA", at positions 524 to 776 of the family's 1533-position model. The record is from RNAcentral.